Molecule: transfer RNA, 73 nt
Filed under: Mus musculus (house mouse)
Lineage: Eukaryota; Metazoa; Chordata; Mammalia; Rodentia; Muridae
Description: tRNA-Asn
Source: RNAcentral
GGAGAGAUGGCUCAGAGGUUAAGAGCACUGACUGUUCUUCCAGAGGUCCUGAGUUCAAUUCCCAGCAACCACA